This 119-nucleotide small RNA is filed under the name Salmonella enterica. Its description in RNAcentral is "RtT sRNA". It matches the Rfam family "RtT RNA". From Rfam's summary of the family: This family represents a bacterial cis-regulatory element known as RtT RNA. The exact function of RtT is unknown although it is thought that it may be involved in changing the cellular response in relation to amino acid starvation. The record is from RNAcentral. RNAcentral also lists the same sequence under 2 other names. Lineage: Bacteria; Pseudomonadati; Pseudomonadota; Gammaproteobacteria; Enterobacterales; Enterobacteriaceae.
GUGUCUGAAACCUGACGAGGAUGAGAACCUCCGGGGGCAAGAGGUUCGACCCGAGCGAAGCGAGAGAACGUUGCGUCAGCAACGGCCCGCAGUGGCAAGUCAUCCUCUGUCACCGGCAG